Molecule: ribosomal RNA, 492 nt
Filed under: uncultured bacterium
Lineage: Bacteria
Description: partial 16S ribosomal RNA
Rfam family: Bacterial small subunit ribosomal RNA
Source: RNAcentral
AGUGAACGCUGGCGGUAGGCCUAACACAUGCAAGUCGAACGGCAGCACAGUAAGAGCUUGCUCUUACGGGUGGCGAGUGGCGGACGGGUGAGGAAUACAUCGGAAUCUACUUUUUCGUGGGGGAUCACGUAGGGAAACUUACGCUAAUACCGCAUACGACUUACGGGUGAAAGCAGGGGAUCUUCGGACCUUGCGCGAUUGAAUGAGCCGAUGUCGGAUUAGCUAGUUGGCUGGGUAAAGGCCCACCAAGGCGACGAUCCGUAGCUGGUCUGAGAGGAUGGUCGCCCACACUGGAAGUGAGACGCGGUCCAGACUCCUACGGGAGGGAGCAGAGGGGAAUAUUGGGCAGUGGGCGCAAACCUGGUCCAGCCAUACCGCGUGGGUGAAGGAGGCCUUCGGGUUGUAAAGCCCUUUUGUUGGGAAAGAAAAGCAGCAGGUUAAUACCCCGCUGUUCUGACGGUACCCAAAGAAUAAGCACCGGCUAACUUCGUG